AGGCUGUUGGCGAAAUGGAAACGCAGCGGAAUUUGACUCCGCCUAUUUAGGGUUCGAAUCCCUAGCAGCCCGUA
Molecule: transfer RNA, 74 nt
Filed under: Caudoviricetes sp.
Lineage: Duplodnaviria; Heunggongvirae; Uroviricota; Caudoviricetes
Description: tRNA-Gln
Rfam family: tRNA
About the family: Transfer RNA (tRNA) molecules are approximately 80 nucleotides in length. Their secondary structure includes four short double-helical elements and three loops (D, anti-codon, and T loops).
Source: RNAcentral